GAGUUUGAUCUUGGCUCAGGACGAACGCUGGCGGCGUGCCUAAUACAUGCAAGUCGAACGAGCUCUCCCAAAUUGAUUUUAUGCUUGCAUAAAUGAUUUUUGGAUUCGGAGCGAGUGGCGAACUGGUGAGUAACACGUGGGUAACCUGCCCCGAAGCGGGGAAUAACAUUUGGAAACAAGUGCUAAUACCGCAUAAUUAGUUGGAACCGCAUGGUUCCAACUUGAAAGAUGGCUCCGCUAUCACUUUGGGAUGGACCCGCGCCGUAUUAGUUAGUUGGUGAGAUAAAAGCCCACCAAGACGAUGAUACGUAGCCGACCUGAGAGGGUAAUCGGCCACAUUGGGACUGAGACACGGCCCAGACUCCUACGGGAGGCAGCAGUAGGGAAUCUUCCACAAUGGACGAAAGUCUGAUGGAGCAACGCCGCGUGAGUGAUGAAGGUUUUCGGAUCGUAAAACUCUGUUGUUAAAGAAGAACAAGUGUUAGAGUAACUGUUAACACUUUGACGGUAUUUAACCAGAAAGCCACGGCUAACUACGUGCCAGCCGCCGCAGUAAGAC
RNAcentral lists this ribosomal RNA (559 nucleotides) under Apilactobacillus kunkeei. RNAcentral describes it as "bacterial SSU rRNA". It matches the Rfam family "Bacterial small subunit ribosomal RNA", at positions 9 to 526 of the family's 1533-position model. The record is from RNAcentral. Lineage: Bacteria; Bacillati; Bacillota; Bacilli; Lactobacillales; Lactobacillaceae.